GUGCAUAUAUUCAUUAUAUUUUCCUCUUUUAGCCUUUCAGGUCUCCUUGCGUGUGGAAGAAGUUUCUAAUUUCGGAAAAGUACUUUUUCAGGCUUCUUGGGUGGAUGUGUGUUUUCUCUAGUAGUGGCUCUAUUCGCCAUCAUACGCACCCGGAACAUUCUGCAAGAACAAGGCCAAAAACAGUACAUGGACAUUAUGUUCCCUCUUUACAGGUAAAACCUAAUUUAAUUUGCUUACUAUGUUUAUACUAACGAUUUGCUUCUCUCUUACACUUUCUUUCUUCUUGUUCUUGCAGCUUGUUUGGGUUCAUUGUGCUGCACAUACUUAUGUAUGCUGGAAACAUUUACUAUU
This 351-nucleotide long non-coding RNA is filed under the name Brassica napus (rape). RNAcentral describes it as "long non-coding RNA (BNAP_LNC001686)". The record is from RNAcentral. Lineage: Eukaryota; Viridiplantae; Streptophyta; Magnoliopsida; Brassicales; Brassicaceae.